CCCAGUGGCUGCUGGAUCGUCUUGGUCCAGAGCCCGUCACGGUUUAUUCCGAUAGCCAAUCGUUGCUUCAGGCCUUGAUCGACGGAUACCAUUGAGGACGAAUGGUAUUGGAGAUCAGAGAGGUAUGGUACUGGCGAUGCGGCAUUGCACAGCUGUCGUUCUCUGUCGGAUCCGUGGCCUCACGGACAUCUACGGGAACGAGCGUGCGGAUUUUCUGGCCAGGACAUCGGCCCGGGGUCCAGUCGUGACCGUGACUGUUCCCCCAUCUGCCAGCUACACCAAAGGUACUCUACUGCAGUUAUCGAUGACAAAUUGGCAGGAGAGCUGGUCUGCUAGCACCGUGGCUAAGACCA
This 353-nucleotide long non-coding RNA is filed under the name Androctonus crassicauda. Lineage: Eukaryota; Metazoa; Arthropoda; Arachnida; Scorpiones; Buthidae. The record is from RNAcentral.